RNAcentral lists this ribosomal RNA (493 nucleotides) under uncultured bacterium. RNAcentral describes it as "partial 16S ribosomal RNA". It matches the Rfam family "Bacterial small subunit ribosomal RNA", at positions 30 to 523 of the family's 1533-position model. The record is from RNAcentral.
AUUGAACGCUGGCGGCAUGCCUUACACAUGCAAGUCGAACGGUAACAGGUUAAGCUGACGAGUGGCGAACGGGUGCGUAAUGUAUCGGAACGUGCCCAGUCGUGGGGGAUAACUGCUGGAAAGAGCAGCUAAUACCGCAUACGACCUGAGGGUGAAAGCGGGGGAUCGCAAGACCUCGCGCGAUUGGAGCGGCCGAUAUCAGAUUAGGUAGUUGGUGAGGUAAAGGCUCACCAAGCCGACGAUCUGCAGCUGGUCUGAGAGGACGAACAGCCACACUGGGACUGAGACACGGCCCAGACUCCUACGGGAGGCAGCAGUGGGGAAUUUUGGACAAUGGGCGCAAGCCUGAUCCAGCCAUGCCGCGUGCGGGAAGAAGGCCUUCGGGUUGUAAACCGCUUUUGUCAGGGAAGAAAAGGUUCUGGCUAAUACCUGGGACUCAUGACGGUACCUGAAGAAUAAGCACCGGCUAACUACGUGCCAGCCGCCGCGGUAA